AGGUAAGCUACUAAGAGCGAAUGGUGGAUGCCUUGACUGGUAAAGGCGAUGAAGGACGUACUAGACUGCGAUAAGCUACGGGGAGCUGUCAAGAAGCUUUGAUCCGUAGAUUUCCGAAUGGGGCAACCCAAUGUAUAGAGAUAUACAUUACCUAUAUAGGAGCGAACGAGGGGAAUUGAAACAUCUUAGUACCCUCAGGAAAAGAAAUCAAUAGAGAUUGCGUCAGUAGCGGCGAGCGAAAGCGCAAGAGGGCAAACCCAGUGCUUGCACUGGGGGUUGUAGGACUGCAAUGUGCAAGAGGUAAGUUUAGCAGAACAUUCUGGAAAGUAUAACCAUAGAGGGUGAUAGUCCCGUAUGCGAAAAACAAACCUUAGCUAGCAGUAUCCUGAGUAGGGCGGGACACGAGGAAUCCUGUCUGAAUCCGGGUCGACCACGAUCCAACCCUAAAUACUAAUACCAGAUCGAUAGUGCACAAGUACCGUGAGGGAAAGGUGAAAAGAACUGAGGUGAUCAGAGUGAAAUAGAACCUGAAACCAUUUGCUUACAAUCAUUCAGAGCCCUAUGUAGCAAUACAGGGUGAUGGACUGCCUUUUGCAUAAUGAGCCUGCGAGUUGUGGUGUCUGGCAAGGUUAAGCAAACGCGAAGCCGUAGCGAAAGCGAGUCUGAAUAGGGCGCUUAGUCAGAUGCUGCAGACCCGAAACGAAGUGAUCUAUCCAUGAGCAAGUUGAAGCUAGUGUAAGAACUAGUGGAGGACUGAACCCAUAGGCGUUGAAAAGCCCCGGGAUGACUUGUGGAUAGGGGUGAAAGGCCAAUCAAACUUCGUGAUAGCUGGUUCUCUCCGAAAUAUAUUUAGGUAUAGCGUUGUGUCGUAAUAUAAGGGGGUAGAGCACUGAAUGGGCUAGGGCAUACACCAAUGUACCAAACCCUAUCAAACUCCGAAUACCUUAUAUGUAAUCACAGCAGUCAGGCGGCGAGUGAUAAAAUCCGUCGUCAAGAGGGAAACAACCCAGACUACCAGCUAAGGUCCCUAAAUCUUACUUAAGUGGAAAACGAUGUGAAGUUACUUAAACAACCAGGAGGUUGGCUUAGAAGCAGCCAUCCUUUAAAGAAAGCGUAAUAGCUCACUGGUCUAGUGAUUUUGCGCGGAAAAUAUAACGGGGCUAAAGUAAGUACCGAAGCUGUAGACUUAGUUUACUAAGUGGUAGGAGAGCGUUCUAUUUGCGUCGAAGGUAUACCGGUAAGGAGUGCUGGAGCGAAUAGAAGUGAGCAUGCAGGCAUGAGUAGCGAUAAUUAAUGUGAGAAUCAUUAACGCCGUAAACCCAAGGUUUCCUACGCGAUGCUCGUCAUCGUAGGGUUAGUCGGGUCCUAAGUCGAGUCCGAAAGGGGUAG
RNAcentral lists this ribosomal RNA (1389 nucleotides) under Campylobacter jejuni. Its description in RNAcentral is "partial 23S ribosomal RNA". It matches the Rfam family "Bacterial large subunit ribosomal RNA", at positions 1 to 1414 of the family's 2925-position model. The record is from RNAcentral. Lineage: Bacteria; Pseudomonadati; Campylobacterota; Epsilonproteobacteria; Campylobacterales; Campylobacteraceae.